Molecule: ribosomal RNA, 549 nt
Filed under: Stagonosporopsis cucurbitacearum
Lineage: Eukaryota; Fungi; Ascomycota; Dothideomycetes; Pleosporales; Didymellaceae
Description: eukaryotic LSU rRNA
Rfam family: 5.8S ribosomal RNA (bases 197-350)
Source: RNAcentral
GGAAGUAAAAGUCGUAACAAGGUUUCCGUAGGUGAACCUGCGGAAGGAUCAUUACCUAGAGUUGCGGGCUUUGCCUGCCAUCUCUUACCCAUGUCUUUUGAGUACCUUCGUUUCCUCGGCGGGUUCGCCCGCCGAUUGGACAAAACUUAAACCCUUUGUAAUUGAAAUCAGCGUCUGAAAAAAACAUAAUAGUUACAACUUUCAACAACGGAUCUCUUGGUUCUGGCAUCGAUGAAGAACGCAGCGAAAUGCGAUAAGUAGUGUGAAUUGCAGAAUUCAGUGAAUCAUCGAAUCUUUGAACGCACAUUGCGCCCCUUGGUAUUCCAUGGGGCAUGCCUGUUCGAGCGUCAUUUGUACCUUCAAGCUCUGCUUGGUGUUGGGUGUUUGUCUCGCCUCUGCGCGCAGACUCGCCUCAAAACGAUUGGCAGCCGGCGUAUUGAUUUCGGAGCGCAGUACAUCUCGCGCUUUGCACUCACAACGACGACGUCCAAAAAGUACAUUUUUACACUCUUGACCUCGGAUCAGGUAGGGAUACCCGCUGAACUUAAG